Long non-coding RNA from Folsomia candida, 312 nucleotides. RefSeq lists it as uncharacterized. The transcript is spliced from 3 exons. The record is from RefSeq and is a predicted model, not a curated record. NCBI's taxonomy places the organism in Eukaryota, Metazoa, Arthropoda, Collembola, Entomobryomorpha, Isotomidae.
UGACACUUUAUCCGUUCGUGCUCAUUUCAGAUCGCCCACGAAGAACUAGCUCUUUCUCUCCUUCGAAUAAUUCAUCGUCGGCACUAAUUUUAUUUAUUGAAAACAGAAAUGGGCGUUCUGAAAGUCCAAAUGGCCCCCAGCUUUCUUAAAAUCACUCUUGGCCACAAUACCUUAUAUUUACCAAGCCAAAAAUUGCAAGUAAAUGGAUAUUGCAAACUGAUCGGCAAUCCAUUUGCUACAGAGUACCAACGACAGCAGCAAGAAAUUAUGACUGCUCUGGUUGAUAAGGUCGGGUCCGACAUUGUUAAUUUU